This 253-nucleotide ribosomal RNA is filed under the name uncultured bacterium. Its description in RNAcentral is "partial 16S ribosomal RNA". It matches the Rfam family "Bacterial small subunit ribosomal RNA", at positions 524 to 776 of the family's 1533-position model. The record is from RNAcentral.
UACAGAGGGGGCAAGCGUUGUCCGGAAUCACUGGGCGUAAAGGGCGCGUAGGCGGCUUGAUAAGGUUGCGGUGAAAGCCCGGGGCUCAACCCCGGGUCGGCCGUGGCAACUGUCGAGCUGGAGCACUGUAGAGGCAGGUGGAAUUCCGGGUGUAGCGGUGGAAUGCGUAGAGAUCCGGAAGAACACCGGUGGCGAAGGCGGCCUGCUGGGCAGUGGCUGACGCUGAGGCGCGACAGCGUGGGGAGCAAACAGG